This 497-nucleotide ribosomal RNA is filed under the name uncultured bacterium. Its description in RNAcentral is "partial 16S ribosomal RNA". It matches the Rfam family "Bacterial small subunit ribosomal RNA", at positions 28 to 507 of the family's 1533-position model. The record is from RNAcentral.
GAUGAACGCUGGCGGCGUGCCUAAUACAUGCAAGUCGAGCGAACUGACGAGAAUCUGGCUUCGCUGAUGUUAUCGCCGGACGGGAGAGUAACACGUGGAUAACCUACCUAUAAGACUGUUAUAACUUCGGGAAACCGUAGCUAAUGCCGGAUAAUAUUUUGCACCUCAUGGUUCAAAAGUGAAAGACGGUCUUUCUGUCACUUAUAGAUGGAUCCGCGCUGCAUUAGCUAGUUGGUAAGGUAACGGCUUACCAAGGCAACGAUGCAUAGCCGACCUGAGAGGGUGAUCGGCCACACUGGAACUGAGACACGGUCCAGACUCCUACGGGAGGCAGCAGUAGGGAAUCUUCCGCAAUGGGCGAAAGCCUGACGGAGCAAAGCCGCGUGAGUGAUGAAGGUCUUCGGAUCGUAAAACUCUGUUAUUAGGGAAGAACAUAUGUGUAAGUAACUGUGCACAUCUUGACGGUACCUAAUCAGAAAGCCACGGCUAACUACGUG